CUGGGUUUGAGGAAACAAACAACAUUACACUCAGAAACGAGCUAACUCUCUUCUUGGCUUUCCCAUACUAGGAAUCUCAACGGCUUCCUAAUGAAACUUGAAUGUCAAAAAUCUCAUAGGAAGAACAAAAUACAUAGGUUUCAGAUGAAAUGGUGAGGAGGAUUAUUGUAAAGGGAUUUGGAGUGCAGAGAAUAUGGCUUGAAGGAAGAGAGGAUGCACAUCUUCUCCAGAGAACACCUCCAACUUCAACUUCUCCACGUGAGGCCAUAUCUACAGGACAUUGAACACACAAGUAAGAUUCUGUCAUUUCAUUAAAAUUUUACGCUCUUAACAACAUCCAACUCAAAUAACUUUUACCUCGUUCGCAUAUUGUCUUGUAAAUGCCGUAAGAUAUCCAAGUGUCGAUAAGCACCACUGUUCUCUCUCACCGAUCUCAGACUUUUUCUUUGGGUUUCCAUUUUCACUGUCCACCUCCAUCGCAGAUGAGUUUUCAUCUUCAGAUUUUAGAUCCUCCAUCGAUCUCGCUUUCGCUGGUUCUGGAAGCCGUUCUUUCAGGACUGCAGAGAAACUCUGGAACAGCAGGAGCAGUAGAGCCUAUAUGCACAAGGAAAAGUCAAUAAGGGAAUACAAAAAGAGACAGUACACUAGAAAGUUAUUUGAAUACCUCAGUUUCAGAGAGAGCUCUGUUAAGAAGAGCCUCUUUUGCCAAAGAAAACUAAAUGUAACUUGCCUUGUUAGCAUGCGGUAUGGCUCUCUGAGAUCCUUUGUGACUAAAUCGUCAAUCAAAGUGCCUAUAUAACUGCUUUCCCUCUCAAGAACAACGUGCUUCUUACCAUCGGAAUGUCUGGCAGCAUUGAUUCCAGAUAUAAUACCCUAUAUUUCAAUAAAUAACAGACCAAUGAUACAUAACCGCAGUUUUCAUUGUAUUGACAUAUAUUUUCUUUCCAUAUCAUCAGAGUAAAAUUAUUAUCAAGACCCAUCAUUAAGGAAGUUAAAGUCUGCUACAGAUCAGUCACCUGUGCGGCAGCUUCUUCGUAACCAGUUGUGCCGUUGAUCUGACCAGAGAAGAAAAGACCAUCAAUUUUCUUCGUCAUAAGGGACCUUGAACACUGAUGAGCUGGCAAAUAAUCAUACUCAACAGCAUAGGCAGGCCUUAGCAUGGCGCAAUUUUCGAGUCCUGGCAAGCUUCUUAGAAGUGGCAGCUGGAGAUUCUCCGGCAGACCAGUUGAAAAUCCCUAUGGAAAAUUUACAACUUGAUAAGAAUGAUAGUGAUUUCAGAGUACAUUGCAUUCUAAUAAAUCACUCAUAAAAAAUAUUUUAGCCUUGAAUACUUAAAAUAUCAAUGCAUAGAUUAGCCACUGAGUACUUAGCAAACAAGCUAAGAUAUCUGCUCUAGUCUUGAAAACUUAACUUACAGACCCUCACAUUAAACUACAGACAACUUCUGAGUAGUAAAAAACUUCAGGCUUGCUCUAACUAUCAAUAAAGAACAUUCCUGAAUCAUAUGUUUUAGAUAUUUUCAUAGAGACCCAAGCUAGAUUCCUUUCUUCAUCCUUAGGUUUCACACUUUUUCCCUACCAGAGAUGAUUAACAGUUAGCGAAAUCAUAACUAAGGUAUGCAUCAACCUGCACAUAGAUCUCUGGAACAUCUCGGCCCUCUGGUUCCAGGAAUAUUUGAUGCGACUCUUUGUCUUUAAACCUAACAAUCUGAAACCAAAUAAGAUAUAAAGAGUAUAAAUUUACUUAAUCAAAAGUAGUUUAUGAGAAAGAUGGUUCAACAGUUUUUUAGGUACCGACUGUAGAAAAAGUGAGUGCAAGAUUUUCAAAACAUUCCUGUUUUGUUACUCCUACAUAGCUUAACCUCAACCCAUUUUUCUUCCUAUUUCUUUUGGAGAUCUUCUUGAUUCUAUCACAAAAACUCAACAGCCCAAUUGAUCUCUUCCACCCCCUACUACUACUACUACAACACACGCUUCCGUUAGCCUUUAACUAUUAUGUAUCAUUAUUUAUGCAUCAGCAUAUGUGUGCAUGUUGGAGACGGAAAUAGUCUUAAAAUCACAUUGUCUGGCAAAUUCGGGUUUCACUAGUCUUUCUCACAAUGUGAUUCCACUCAUAAACAUUGACAAGUAUAUCAAGAACAAUCAGCUCAAUAACAUGAAAGGUAGAUGAACCAUGGCUGAUGUAACUUCCUCUCGGUCCACGAAAGAGAUAAUAACACAAAGAAAAAGAGGUAAAGCAUAUGCACAGAAAAGAAUAUACCUUGUCUUCAAUGGAAGGGCAGUACCUAGGACCCUUUGCUUCAACCCAUCCACCAUACGUUGGGGUCUCAUGCAAAUUGUCCCUGAUCAAUUGGUGUGUAAACUCUGUUGUGCGAGUCAAGUAGCAGCACAUUUGCUCUCUCUCAAUAUGAAAGUCUGGGUCGAAACUAAACCAGCUGACCUGGGAAAAGGAACAUUAAUGUUCAGCAUCUUCAAAUACAAAAGGUUCAUGAAUCACCUUGGUUAGAUACCAGAAAAAAUAAAAUAUUGUUCUAAUGAUGAGAAAUCUAUUUAUAAAGUGUACAAAACUUAAGCAAUGCCUAAGUGGCUACUCAUUGACUGAAUCGCUUUAGCCCAUGUAACCAUACCAUAAUGAUAUUUAUUUAAGUGUAAGUAAUAAUACCUCUUCGUCUCCAUGUUGAGCUUCCAAGAGAGAAAAAUCAAUGGUCCGGCGAUCCACACGAGCAGGCGUACCGGUCUUUAAGCGAUCUGUCUCAAACCCAAGUUGCUGCAAGUUCUCUGUCAAGCCUUGUGAAGCAGACUCGCCAGCUCUUCCAGCUGGCAUAGACUUUCUACCAACCCAAAUCUUCCCACUCAUAAAGGUUCCAGUGGUGAGAAUCACAGAAGGCGCAUAAAAGUUCAUCCCGAAAAAUGUCGCAACCCCUUCCACGUUGUCAUUCUUCCCAACAAGGAUAUCUGUUACCAUCGCCUCUCUAAUACUGAGAUUCUCAGUGCUGCCAUACCAAAAACAAAAAAAAUGCAGCUAUUACAAAACAUAUAAUUCCAAGAUUAUUAUUCCAAAAUAGCUUGUAAGUAGUAAAUUCAGUAUUUUACACAUGCUUAGAGAUUUAUAUGCAACAAAAAAAAAAAAUAGAUAUGUAAGCAAGACGUAUAGUAAUUAAGCUGACCUUUCCACAAUCUUUUUCAUCUCCAUGGCAUACUCUCUUUUGUCAGUCUGAGCACGUAAGGAUCUAACAGCAGGUCCUCUUGAGACAUUUAGAAUGCGCUUCUGUAAAUAGCAUCUGCACACCAUUAAACCGUUUCAGUAACAACAGUAACAAAGAAGAAACUAUGAUCAGUUAACAGUGUUUACUUUACACUGAAAACUACAUAUAACAACAGAGCUAGAUCUAUAAAAACUCAAUCUAAUCUCCAUUUCCUCAAUUUGUUUUGAAGAGAAGAAUCAUCAGCUGAGCUGGCGAAAACGUACCGAUCAGCGACUUUGCCAAUAUCACCACCAAGUGCAUCAACUUCAUGAACUAAUUGUGAUUUAGCUGGUCCACCAACGGCUGGAUUGCAAGGCUUUUCACGAAACAAGUAUAGUUAGUUAUCGGGAUUACCGUUGCUGCACAGUUGUGACAAGUAGUGUACAUACACAAACAAACCUGCCAAGCUAUACGAUCGAGGUUUAAGGUGAGGAGGAGAGUGCUAGCUCCCAAUCGAGCGGAGGCUAGAGCGGCUUCGCAUCCGGCGUGUCCAGCUCCAACCACAAUCACGUCGUAGUUCGAACCACCUAAAGAGAUUGAUUACUCGUUUAAGCCAAAAAGAAUUAAAUUAAAAAUCAGGAUGAGAGGUUUGGUGGUUGGGGAACCUGGUGAUGAGCUGAAGCUUGUGGCGUGAGGGCGAUUAAGGGAGAGUGUGCGAGGUCGGCAGCGUAGACGAGGAGAGUGGAGAGGGAAUGAGAUGGAGGAGAAGAGAAUAGAUGGGACAGUGGAAGAGAAGCUUCGGAGAUGCCGGAGACCUAAAGAGGUGGAGGCGGUGGUGGCUCUCAUCUCUAAACAGAAGCGGAAGUUGUGAGUGGUCGACGCAGCAAUUUAAUCGGGGAUAGAAGAUGAUUUGAGUUAUUGAAUUAGUGAAGGAAAUGGGCUAUUCUAUAAAAUGGGAAUAAGUAUAAUCUAAUCCCCAGGACCAAGCAAGAGUUUCUCUCUUCCCAACUUAAUUUAUAGUUUUGUCUAUGGUUUUUUUUGUAUACUUUCGUUGGAGAUUUCAUAUAGCAAGUAGAAUUUGGAAAACAUUUCGUUUGGAAAACAAAAAAAAUGAUAAGCUGGGUGCCAUCUGUUGUGGUCUUUAUUAGUUACUCUUAAUCUAGGUUUUGGUUUGGUUUAGAAGUAAAUUUUAAUCUUAUUAGUGAAAUUAAGUGGUGUAAGAGACGGUUCAGCUCGGGUCGUGGAAUAGAUUCGUUUUGUUGUAGUUAAAAAUACAAUGUUGUCUAAACUGGGUAGCAUAUGAUUUUUCUAAGUGUUUAUUUUGGAGUUGUAUGUGGGAUUUAGAUAUAGGUGAAGUUAAAAUUUUGUAUUCACAAUUUGGAUUAUGAAAGUUAAACUGAGAGACAGAAAAUAAAAACAUAUCCAGUAGAAAAAGUCUGUUAUGCUAAAAUUGUCUAAACCUUUUUGGCUCUUUUCUUUUAUUAUGCAGAACGUUGGAAACUUUUCGAUUCUGCUCAUGUACCGACGGUACACUACCGUCGUCGUUCUAUCCAUACCGGUUUGAUCCUCUUGAUCCUUCCUCCUUUCACCACCAAUUCUUUUUCCUUGUCUUCCACCUCAAAAUUUGGAUUUAAGACCCUCCCUAUAAAGUUUACAAAUCUCCUUCCGAACAACCUUAGCUAAUAGCUUCUGCUUCUUUAAACAGUGACAGACCAUAGAAAAUCGCAACAGAACAGACUCCAUGUACCCUUACAGUUAUCCUAAAAUCAAGUUUAAUUAAUAAAGCUGGGUUUGAGGAAACAAACAACAUUACACUCAGAAACGAGCUAACUCUCUUCUUGGCUUUCCCAUACUAGGAAUCUCAACGGCUUCCUAAUGAAACUUGAAUGUCAAAAAUCUCAUAGGAAGAACAAAAUACAUAGGUUUCAGAUGAAAUGGUGAGGAGGAUUAUUGUAAAGGGAUUUGGAGUGCAGAGAAUAUGGCUUGAAGGAAGAGAGGAUGCACAUCUUCUCCAGAGAACACCUCCAACUUCAACUUCUCCACGUGAGGCC
RNAcentral lists this long non-coding RNA (5235 nucleotides) under Brassica napus (rape). Its description in RNAcentral is "long non-coding RNA (BNAP_LNC002776)". Lineage: Eukaryota; Viridiplantae; Streptophyta; Magnoliopsida; Brassicales; Brassicaceae. The record is from RNAcentral.